Long non-coding RNA from Aethalodelphis obliquidens (Pacific white-sided dolphin), 1610 nucleotides. RefSeq lists it as uncharacterized. The transcript is spliced from 3 exons. Lineage: Eukaryota; Metazoa; Chordata; Mammalia; Artiodactyla; Delphinidae. The record is from RefSeq and is a predicted model, not a curated record.
ACAAGAGGCUAACCUUGCUUGACCAGGCCUGUCUGAAUGGGAGACCCUUCCUAACAGGGGCGGGGCACUGCUAGUGGUCAUGGAGCCAUUCCCCCCCACCCCAACUUACAGCCUGAGAAAACCGAGUUAUUCAAGGUCAUAGUUUUAAGUGUGGCUUCUAGGAUGGGCAGAAGGAAGCAGGAGAGCCCCUCCCCCUGCUGCUCCAGGUCCAUCCUGGGCUCUUCUUUUCAUGCAGGAAGCUGUCACAUUGGAAAGCAUUAACAAGGCAAGCCUGACCUACAGCCAAGCUUCGAUUUCUCAUCCCUGGGGGACUGACCCCACCAUAGUGGGAAGAGGAGGAUGUUGAGCCCAAAUCUGAUCCACGUGUGAGCCAGCUGAACUCGGGAGCUGUUCCCAGGGAAGUGACGUUCGACAGCCGCCACCACCCCCCACCCCCAGCCUUGGGCCUCCCUAUUUGACACACUCAACUGGGGGCAACAGAACAAAUUCCAAGACAAAAGUUUCGAGAGCGAUGAUUCAGAGGCUCGCAGAGGACAUUUAUGGGAAGAACGUUCUGGGAGCUCUGGCCUUAGGUGUCAUGCCCAUUUGGGGCCAGCCAACAUCUGCUCCUGGGGAGAGACUUACGGAAACACCAGGUACACAUGGCAUAACUCCCUAAGCCAACACCCAUGGCAGACAUUACUAAUCGAUCCUGGGAUUCUCUGACUACCCAAUCUACAUGCCCCUGCUGCGUCUGGUCCAUAUGGUAGCUGGAGCUAUGGUAAACACAGUUUUAAAAAACUAGGUUCUGGUAAGAGGAAGGAGAGGAACGUCUGUUUGUCCUGGUUGGGAUCUCAGCUGUUCGGAAAGCAGUGUAUCCCUAGAGGUGAAGAAAUGUUCUUUGCAGGGAAAUAGUAAAAGAAACCGUAGGGGAGGGAACCGACCAUAAACAUCUGUGGCUCCUAUUCGGGUGGUGAGUGAACUGUUCCCGUGGUAGGUCCCAGCACCCAGGUUCGUUGGGUUGAAGGUACCCAUCUUCUCUUGCCAGCUGGCCCAUGUCCUCAGGGGUAGUGUCUGAUCUCCUAUGCCUUUGUGGCCCCUACAUCUUCCACGCGGGGCUGGGCUCACACGCACCGCCCCUAAAAUGUUCCCUUGAUCUGACCUGGCUUCACCUGAGGCUGUACCAUCUGCUAGAAGGGGGCCACAUAAGCCAGCUGGCUGCCUCCCACCUCCGUGCCGGGCUCUUCAUCUGGGAUCCCUCCCUCUGUUGCUGGGAGUGCAGGGGAGGGCAAGAACCCCCUGAGCUUGUAUGGAAAUUGCUGUGUGAGUGCUGAGUCCCUCCACACCCCUGACAGCCCAUGCCUAUGAAUGACACACACAGUUUAAUACAACUUGAAAGGCAUCUCGUCCAUCCCUCCCUGCUCCAUCUCUGACCCUCCCUCCAAACCUGACCUAGUAUGUCAGUCCCUUGGGAGGGGAGGGGCAAUCUUACAUGGGGGCUCCUACCCCCAGCAGAGCAGUUAGCCUGCCUUGAGGGCGGUUUUGCACCUGUCCCCCUCACUAGAGGGUGAAUUCCCAAAGUGUGGUCCCUCCCAGGGGGACCAGCACAGGGCCCGGCUCUCACGGACCUG